RNAcentral lists this long non-coding RNA (649 nucleotides) under Aquilegia coerulea. RNAcentral's name for it is "long non-coding RNA (ACOE_LNC001830)". Lineage: Eukaryota; Viridiplantae; Streptophyta; Magnoliopsida; Ranunculales; Ranunculaceae. The record is from RNAcentral.
GACAAUGUUGGUCGUGCCCAUCGCCUUCAGGUAGGUGUUGCUUGAAUGCAGACGUCAAUGUUACCGAUGCAGACCUAAACCGUCGGUGUUGGUCAUGCCCAUCGCCUUCGGGCAGGUGUUGUUUGAGUGCGGAAGCAGACCCAAACCGCCAGUGUUGGUCAUGCCCAUCACCUUCUGGUAGAUGUUGCUUGAGCGUGGACACCAGUGUUACUGAGGCAGACCCAAAUCGUCGGUGUUGGUCAUGUCCAUCUCCUUCGGGUAGGUGUUGCUUGAGUGCAGAGGCGGACCCAAAUCGCCAAUGUUGGUCGUGCCCAUCGCCUUCGGGUAGGUGCUGCUUGAGUGUGGAUACAAGUGUUACCAAUGUAGACCCAAACCGUCGAUGUUGGUCAUGCCCAUCACCUUCAGGCAGGUGUUGCUUGAGUGCAGAAGCAGACCCAAACCGCCAGUGUUGGUCAUGCCCGUCACCUUCAGGUAGGUGUUGCUUGAAUGCAGACAUCAGUGUUAUAGAGGCAGCAGACCCAAACCGCCGGUGUUGGUCAUGCCCAUCACCUUCCGGCAGGUGUUGCUUGAGUGCAGAAGCAGACCCAAACCGCCAAUGCUGGUCGUGCCCAUCGCCUUCAGGCAGGUGUUGCUUGAAUGUGGAUGUCAA